RNAcentral lists this ribosomal RNA (773 nucleotides) under uncultured Neocallimastigales. RNAcentral's name for it is "partial large subunit ribosomal RNA". It matches the Rfam family "Eukaryotic large subunit ribosomal RNA", at positions 24 to 635 of the family's 3401-position model. The record is from RNAcentral. Lineage: Eukaryota; Fungi; Neocallimastigomycota; Neocallimastigomycetes; Neocallimastigales.
UAUGUGUCGUCUCUCGCAUAUCAAUAAGCGGAGGAAAAGAAACUAACAAGGAUUCCCCUAGUAACGGCGAGUGAAGCGGGAAGAGCUCAAAUUUGAAAUCUUAAAGGGUUUCCCUUUACGAAUUGUAGUUUAAAGAAGUGUUUUCUGUUGAGGUUUUGGUAAAAGUUCUUUGGAAUAGGACAUCAUAGAGGGUGAGAAUCCCGUAUUUGACCUUUACUUCCAACUUUGUGAUACACUUUCAAAGAGUCGGAUUGUUUGGGAAUGCAGUCCAAAAUGGGUGGUAAAUUUCAUCUAAAGCUAAAUAUUGGCGAGAGACCGAUAGCGAACAAGUACCGUGAGGGAAAGAUGAAAAGAACUUUGAAAAGAGAGUUAAACAGUACGUGAAAUUGUCAAAAGGGAAGCGUUUGACACCAGUGUUGUUUUUCUGAAAAUCAAUUAAAGAACUGUUUAUGCUAAGCUGUUUAGACUUUAUCAGCUAUCUGUUUAGUUUUGAGCUUUUCUUUAAUGCACUUUUCAGUUAACAAGUCAACAUCAAUUUCUUUUGCUGUAAAAAAGCUUGAGGAAGGUGGCUUGAGAUUCGUCUUAAGUGUUUAUAGCCUCUUGCCUAUGCAGUCGGAGAGAUUGAGGUCUGCAGCGUAGAUCCUUCGGGGCUAAGUGCAUUUGUGCUAAGUUAUAGCAUUUUAUAGACAACUUGUUGACUAUGAUUUGUCUUGUAGCUUACUCGCUUAUGUUAUUUUACCUACGCUUAGGAUGUUGAACGCGCACAGAGUCUC